Molecule: ribosomal RNA, 492 nt
Filed under: uncultured bacterium
Lineage: Bacteria
Description: partial 16S ribosomal RNA
Rfam family: Bacterial small subunit ribosomal RNA
Source: RNAcentral
AGUGAACGCUGGCGGUAGGCCUAACACAUGCAAGUCGAACGGCAGCACAGUAAGAGCUUGCUCUUACGGGUGGCGAGUGGCGGACGGGUGAGGAAUACAUCGGAAUCUACUUUUUCGUGGGGGAUAACGUAGGGAAACUUACGCUAAUACCGCAUACGACCUACGGGUGAAAGCAGGGGAUCUUCGGACCUUGCGCGAUUGAAUGAGCCGAUGUCGGAUUAGCUAGUUGGCGGGGUAAAGGCCCACCAAGGCGACGAUCCGUAGCUGGUCUGAGAGGAUGAUCAGCCACACUGGAACUGAGACACGGUCCAGACUCCUACGGGGGGCAGCAGUGGGGAAUAUUGGACAAUGGGCGCAAGCCUGAUCCAGCCAUACCGCGUGGGUGAAGAAGGCCUUCGGGUUGUAAAGCCCUUUUGUCGGGAAAGAAAAGCAGCAGGUUAAUACCCCGCUGUUCUGACGGUACCCAAAGAAUAAGCACCGGCUAACUUCGUG